Molecule: long non-coding RNA, 1078 nt
Organism: Alexandromys fortis (reed vole)
Lineage: Eukaryota; Metazoa; Chordata; Mammalia; Rodentia; Cricetidae
Exons: 4
Source: RefSeq, a predicted model, not a curated record
CCAUCUGAGAGGAGUAAAGAGGGCAAAAGUGGGCUCUCUCUCUCUCUCUCUCUCUCUCUCUCUCUCUCUCUCUCUCUCUCUCUCUCUCUCUCUCUCUCUGUUGUGUGCAUGUGGCUGGAGAUGGAAGUCUUUCCUCUAUUGCUCUCUGUCUCACUGGACUUCACUUGACUUUCACAGGUUGCUGGGGAUCUAAACUCAAGCCUUCAUCCUGGAGCAGCCGGCAUUUUUCCCACUGAGCCAGCUCCCCAGCCUGCGAGUGGGCUGGCUGGGAUGUGAGAACCUUCUCCCACCUUCCAGGUCUAGGGAUCACAGCCUUGGAGGGGUUUCUCUGUGGUUUUGGAGCCUGUCCUGGAACUAGCUCUUGUAGACCAGUCCCUCGUGUGCUCUGACGGCCUGGUGGGAGUGACUUCCUCUAUUGCUGAUGGUCUGAGCUCUAUACCCUGCCCAGCUACUCACCGUUCCCGUGAGCAGUUCAUACAGAAGUGACCCAUAGCUCCACCAGUCACAGGCUUCCGUCAGCUCAGAAAUCCCCCCGACCUCUGCAAGAACAAGAACACGGAGAGUGCUGUCACCGAAGGGUAAAGAGCCAAGCAUGGAUUUACAGCGACUGUGCCAUGACCCGAGGGUGUGCCGCACAUUUUAAAGUCACUAAAUAGGGCUGGAGAGAUGACUCAGCGGUUAAGAGCAUUGCCUGCUCUUCCAAAGGUCCCGAGUUCAAUUCCCAGCAACCACAUGGUGGCUCACAACCAUCUAUAAUGAGGUCUGGUACCCUCUUCUAGCCUGCAGGCAUACAUGUAGACAGAAUACUAUAUACAUAAUAAAUAAAUAAACAUUUAAAAAAAAUAAAGUCACUAAAUAGCGGCCACACAGCUCAGUUCCCGUCUUGACAGCUUUAGUUCCCAGCCGCUCUGUGGCCACCGGGGAGGGGCAGUGACUGGGAAAGUGCAAAGAGACUAAAGGAAAUGGUAACACGAUGGCAGCUGAAUAAAUGCCCUCGUCCCCUGCCUAGGGUGGGGACAUCCUCCACAGGAUGUCCCCUGCUCCCUCAGCACCACACACAAGUUCACAGCAGCCUGGC